UGGAGGAGCACCAGCCUCUUAUAUCACAAGAUGGAUCCAGGAGGAGAAAUCCCCCAGAGAGAUGUCCCCGUCCUCUGAAUUCCCAGGACUGUCCAGAGGAGAAGCUCCCAGAGAACCCUCAGGUAGAUGGAGCUGAGCCCUAUACACAUCUAUAUAGGGGGGUCCUGCAGUCAUAGAGGGGUCAU
Molecule: long non-coding RNA, 185 nt
Organism: Bufo bufo (common toad)
Lineage: Eukaryota; Metazoa; Chordata; Amphibia; Anura; Bufonidae
Exons: 3
Source: RefSeq, a predicted model, not a curated record